This 301-nucleotide ribosomal RNA is filed under the name uncultured bacterium. RNAcentral describes it as "partial 16S ribosomal RNA". It matches the Rfam family "Bacterial small subunit ribosomal RNA", at positions 509 to 807 of the family's 1533-position model. The record is from RNAcentral.
CAGCCGCCGCGGUAAUCCGUAGGGUGCGAGCGUUAAUCGGAAUUACUGGGCGUAAGGCGUGCGCAGGCGGUUGUGUAAGACAGGUGUGAAAUCCCCGGGCUUAACCUGGGAACUGCGCUUGUGACUGCACAGCUAGAGUAUGGCAGAGGGGGGUGGAAUUCCACGUGUAGCAGUGAAAUGCGUAGAGAUGUGGAGGAACACCGAUGGCGAAGGCAGCCCCCUGGGCCAAUACUGACGCUCAUGCACGAAAGCGUGGGGAGCAAACAGGAUUAGAUACCCCGGUAGUCCCUGUCUCUUAUAC